This 425-nucleotide ribosomal RNA is filed under the name uncultured Pseudoflavonifractor sp. RNAcentral's name for it is "bacterial SSU rRNA". It matches the Rfam family "Bacterial small subunit ribosomal RNA", at positions 355 to 794 of the family's 1533-position model. Lineage: Bacteria; Bacillati; Bacillota; Clostridia; Eubacteriales; Oscillospiraceae. The record is from RNAcentral.
UGAGGAAUAUUGGGCAAUGGGCGCAAGCCUGACCCAGCAACGCCGCGUGAGGGAAGAAGGUUUUCGGAUUGUAAACCUCUGUCGCAGAAGACGAAGAAUGUGACGGUACCUGGAGAAAAAGCAACGGCUAACUACGUACCAGCAGCCGCGGUAAUACGUAGGUUGCAAGCGUUGUCCGGAUUUACUGGGUGUAAAGGGCGUGUAGGCGGAGAUGCAAGUUGGGAGUGAAAUCCCGGGGCUCAACCCCGGAACUGCUUUCAAAACUGUAUCCCUUGAGUAUCGGAGAGGCAAGCGGAAUUCCUAGUGUAGCGGUGAAAUGCGUAGAUAUUAGGAGGAACACCAGUGGCGAAGGCGGCUUGCUGGACGACAACUGACGCUGAGGCGCGAAAGCGUGGGGAGCAAACAGGAUUAGAUACCCUGGUAGU